RNAcentral lists this ribosomal RNA (189 nucleotides) under Bacillus amyloliquefaciens. RNAcentral describes it as "partial 16S rRNA. Bacterial SSU". It matches the Rfam family "Bacterial small subunit ribosomal RNA", at positions 1 to 184 of the family's 1533-position model. The record is from RNAcentral. Lineage: Bacteria; Bacillati; Bacillota; Bacilli; Caryophanales; Bacillaceae.
CUUUAUCGGAGAGUUUGAUCCUGGCUCAGGACGAACGCUGGCGGCGUGCCUAAUACAUGCAAGUCGAGCGGACAGAUGGGAGCUUGCUCCCUGAUGUUAGCGGCGGACGGGUGAGUAACACGUGGGCAACCUGCCUGUGAGACUGGGAUAACUCCGGGAAACCGGGGCUAAUACCGGAUGGUUGUUUGA